This 521-nucleotide long non-coding RNA is filed under the name Brassica napus (rape). RNAcentral's name for it is "long non-coding RNA (BNAP_LNC023634)". Lineage: Eukaryota; Viridiplantae; Streptophyta; Magnoliopsida; Brassicales; Brassicaceae. The record is from RNAcentral.
UACAUGUAUUUAUUUAUAUAUUGCCGGAUCGGAGCGAAUAUCCGCUUCUUAAAAUUUUGAUAUUUGUGAUUUGCUUCGAUUUUAAAGGAUAUUGAUUUUUUUUGCUUCGGAAGUCUACGGAUAUCCAAAAAUUUUGGAUCGAAUCGAGACGAAUAACGAAUCGAAUCAAAUUUAACGGAUAAAAUGUCCAGUCCUACCGGUGGCUAUGCGCUGUGAAAAUCUGGUGUGGUGCGGAUUCGAACUCGGGUCCUUUGGGGAUCCACGGAACGCCUUGACCACCCGAUCACAGACGCGUGGUUCCUACAUUAUCAGAAAGAAGCUUUCUCGAAAAUUUGAAUAAGAAACAGGUACAUAAAACGUGUAAAUGUUAAGAUUUGAGAGAAGAUUUGUGAGAAUGUGUUUUCUAUUUCUUAUUGCUUACACCACUAUAUAUAGUGGUUCAUACAAGGUGGAGUCAAAGGGAGAAUUGAUUACAAAGAUACUAUACAUAAUGACAUGGUCAAACUCAUAAAGACUAAGGU